CAAGAGCGUAUAUUAAAGUUGUUGCAGUUAAAAAGCUCGUAGUUGGAUUUCUGGUAUAAUGCGCCUGGCCCGCUCCGUUUCGGAGUGAGUGCCGGUGCGCGUUUGCCAUCCUUCUAGAAAAUGUUUCUACCCUUCGCUGGGCCGGAUUCACGAUCUAGAUCUUUUUACUUUGAAAAAAUUAGAGUGUUUAAAGCAGGCUUUUGCUAUGAAUACAUUAGCAUGGAAUAAUAAUCUAGGACUUCGGUACUAUUUUGUUGGUUUCUAGGACCGAAGUAAUGAUUAAUAGGGACAGUUGGGGGCAUUCAUAUUCCAUUGUCAGAGGUGAAAUUCUUGGAUUAACGGAAGAUGAACUACUGCGAAAGCAUCUGCCAAGGAUGUUUUCAUUGAUCAAGAACGAAAGUUAGGGGAUCGAAGACGAUCAGAUACCA
Molecule: ribosomal RNA, 428 nt
Filed under: uncultured eukaryote
Lineage: Eukaryota
Description: bacterial SSU rRNA
Rfam family: Eukaryotic small subunit ribosomal RNA
Source: RNAcentral